ACCUGCCCAUUGGAAUUUAAAAGGCCGCGGUAUUAUGACCGUGCUAAGGUAGCAUAAUCAUUAGUCUUUUAAUUGGAGGCUGGUAUGAAUGGUUGGACAAGAAAUAAGCUGUCUUAAAUAAAAAUAUUGAAUUUAACUUUUAAGUGAAAAGGCUUAAAUUUUCUAAGGGGACGAUAAGACCCUAUAAAACUUUAUAUUUUAAAAUAAUAAUUAAUUUUAUAUAGAAGAUUUAUUUUUAAAUAUUUUAUUGGGGUGAUAAAGAUAAAAUGUGAGAUAACUGUCUUUUUUUUUUUACAAUUAAUAUUUGAGUAAAAGAUCUUAACAAAGGAAAUAAGAGAUUAAGUUACUUUAGGGAUAACAGCGUAAUUUUCUUUAAGAGUUCUUAUCGACAAGAAAGUUUGCGACCUCGAUGUUGAAUUAAAAGUUCUUUAUAGAGUAGAUAUUAUAAUAGAGGGUCUGUUCGACCCUUAAAAUUUUACGUG
Molecule: ribosomal RNA, 482 nt
Filed under: Pontastacus leptodactylus (narrow-clawed crayfish)
Lineage: Eukaryota; Metazoa; Arthropoda; Malacostraca; Decapoda; Astacidae
Description: Astacus leptodactylus (narrow-clawed crayfish) partial large subunit ribosomal RNA
Rfam family: Bacterial large subunit ribosomal RNA
Source: RNAcentral